This 434-nucleotide ribosomal RNA is filed under the name uncultured bacterium. Its description in RNAcentral is "bacterial SSU rRNA". It matches the Rfam family "Bacterial small subunit ribosomal RNA", at positions 343 to 794 of the family's 1533-position model. The record is from RNAcentral.
GGGAGGCAGCAGUGGGGAAUCUUAGACAAUGGGGGCAACCCUGAUCUAGCCAUGCCGCGUGAGUGAUGAAGGCCUUAGGGUUGUAAAGCUCUUUCAGCUGGGAAGAUAAUGACGGUACCAGCAGAAGAAGCCCCGGCUAACUCCGUGCCAGCAGCCGCGGUAAUACGGAGGGGGCUAGCGUUGUUCGGAAUUACUGGGCGUAAAGCGCACGUAGGCGGACCGGAAAGUCAGAGGUGAAAUCCCAGGGCUCAACCUUGGAACUGCCUUUGAAACUAUCGGUCUGGAGUUCGAGAGAGGUGAGUGGAAUUCCGAGUGUAGAGGUGAAAUUCGUAGAUAUUCGGAGGAACACCAGUGGCGAAGGCGGCUCACUGGCUCGAUACUGACGCUGAGGUGCGAAAGCGUGGGGAGCAAACAGGAUUAGAUANCCUGGUAGU